GUAUUAGCUCUAGAAUUACCACAGUUAUCCAAGUAGGAGAGGAGCGAGCGACCAAAGGAACCAUAACUGAUUUAAUGAGCCAUUCGCAGUUUCACUGUACCGGCCGUGCGUACUUAGACAUGCAUGGCUUAAUCUUUGAGACAAGCAUAUGCUACUGGCAGGAUCAACCAGGUAGGUAGGUAGAGCGCGGCGAGGCCCCGACGCGGCCGGACGGCCGGCCGGGGGGCCUCGCGAGGACGGGCCCGGCGCCCCGCAAGCGAGGAGGACGACGGACGGACGGACGGACGGGCCGCGGACGGCCCGACCCGCGCCCG
RNAcentral lists this long non-coding RNA (314 nucleotides) under Homo sapiens (human). RNAcentral describes it as "non-protein coding lnc-KCNE1B-3:9". The record is from RNAcentral. Lineage: Eukaryota; Metazoa; Chordata; Mammalia; Primates; Hominidae.